RNAcentral lists this ribosomal RNA (254 nucleotides) under uncultured bacterium. Its description in RNAcentral is "partial 16S ribosomal RNA". It matches the Rfam family "Bacterial small subunit ribosomal RNA", at positions 524 to 776 of the family's 1533-position model. The record is from RNAcentral.
UACGUAGGGUCCGAGCGUUGUCCGGAUUUAUUGGGCGUAAAGAGCUCGUAGGCGGUUCCGUAAGUCAGAUGUGAAAACUCAGGGCUCAACCCGGAGACGCCAUCUGAUACUGCGGUGACUGGAGUCUGGUAGGGGAACACGGAAUUCCUGGUGUAGCGGUGAAAUGCGCAGAUAUCAGGAGGAACACCGGUGGCGAAGGCGGUUCUCUGGGCAUUACCUGACGCUGAGGAGCGAAAGUGUGGGGAGCGAACAGG